This is a long non-coding RNA of Equus caballus (horse), 1856 nucleotides long. The record is from Ensembl. NCBI's taxonomy places the organism in Eukaryota, Metazoa, Chordata, Mammalia, Perissodactyla, Equidae.
AAAUAACCUCCCUCCUGGGUGAUAGAGGGGAGACCAACUCUGUUAAUGGGUUCCUUUUUUAGGCUCCGAGAUCUUGCUUCAGGGUGUUCAAAUUUUGAGACAUGUUUAUGUCAAGGAACCCUCCAUUCACCCUGGAAGAAUCAUGGAGUUCAUUUAGAGAUCACUUCCAUCCUACGCCCAAAGCAUAGGAACAAUCAUCAGAGACCUCUGUCUGGGAAACAUGCCAGGAAGUAGUGAACCUCCAGCAAUGCUGAGUCAGACUCUCUGUGGUAUAGGGAAUCUCAGCUCUCUACUUUCUUGUUUUGGACCUUUUUUUUGUUUUUACUUUUAGAUGGGACUUCUUGGGAGGGUUAUAUUCAGAAAGACCUUCCAGAGAUUUGGAGUAUGGAAGUAGAAACAUAAAUGAUUCUCUUCUUCUCUCCCAUGGCUUUGACUGCUUGUUUUGAAGGAAGAAGUGAGUAGAAGAGUGAGAAUGAGAGAAGAAGAAAAUUAUUUUAUGGAGAAUGGCAGAGACAGGGAGGAAAAGAGGGAUAAUGGGGUAAAGUAUGUAUAAUAUUUCACCUAACAUUUCCUUCCCCACAUCUCUGAUCAUUCCUUUUUCUCAAGUACGUAAGUUAUUAGGUUCUCAACCUUCAGAGAAGGGAUGUGGCAGCGAAAAGAAAUCGAAGCAGAGAUGAUGUGGCCAAAAACAUAAGUGGCCUCCAAGAAUGAGCAAGACAAACAUUUGGAUUCAGCCCACAAGACACAAGCUGAAUAUCAAAAAACAAAAGGAUAAGAAAUUAAUGUUACAAACCAUUGGAAUACCAUUGACCAACAGAAGAUCCCCUACACAGCAUUGCAGGAAAAAUAACAGAUCCAUACCUAUAUACAACUGAAGGCAGGUGGCCUGGACCCACAGGAGGCAAUGGAACCAGAGUAGCAACACCCUCCUCCUCCCUUGGUAUCAGUAAUCCAGGGAACAGACCCCAGGAUGGAAAGUGUAGGAUCUCAAAUACAAUAAGAAGCAGAUCAAAACCAAAGUAAUCAAAGCUAUACCCAAUUAAGAAUGGUAGUACUAUCACAAGUGCCCCAGCAGAGACUUAACUCACCAAAUACUGUGAAUAACUACAGUAACAUGGUACAAGAGAAUGAGAAGGAAAACUCUCCAGAAACCAAAUUUGAAGUCACAGAAGAAUAUAAUCUAACUGAAAGAGAAUUCACAAUAGCUCUUCCACAGUAAAUCAAUGAGUUACAAGAAAACUCAGAAAUAUCGUUCAAUGAGCUCAGGAUUAAAAAAAUAAACAACAAACAAACAAAUGUUGGAGAUGAAGAACACAAUUAUGAGAUUAAAAAUAAGUAAGAAAGCAUUAAAGAUAGAGCAGAACAUAUGGAGGGGAGAAUUAGUGACCUCAAAGAUAGAAACUUAGAAUUGAUUCAGGUGGAGGAAGAGAGAGAAUGAAGAUUUUAAAAAGUGAAGAAAUUCUUCAAGAAAUAUCUGACUCAAUUAGGAAAAGUAACAUAAGGAUAAUAGAUAUCCCAGGAGGAGAAGAGAGGGGAAAAGGAGAAGAGAGCUUAUUCAAAAGAACAGUAGCUGAGAUCUUCACAAACCUGAGGAAGUAACUGGACUUACAAUUACUUGAAACCAAUAGAACUCCUAAUUACAUCAAGGCAAAAAGAUCUUACCCAAGGCAUAUAAUACCAAAGCUGUCAAAAUUCAAUGACAAAGAAAAAAUAUUAAGGGCCACAAGACAGAAGAAAAUAACCUACAAAGGAAUAUUUAUCAGGCUUUCAGCAAAUUUACAAGUAGAAAUCCUACAGGCUAGGAAAGAGUGGAAUGAUAUAUUCAAAAUACUGAAAGACAAAAACUAUCUGCCAAG